Molecule: long non-coding RNA, 775 nt
Organism: Phyllopteryx taeniolatus (common seadragon)
Lineage: Eukaryota; Metazoa; Chordata; Actinopteri; Syngnathiformes; Syngnathidae
Exons: 3
Source: RefSeq, a predicted model, not a curated record
GUAAGUUGCUGUAAUGUUAGUCCUUUUUUGUUGUUGUAAAGGAUGGAGAAUAAUAGACGUCCGUCCAGUGAGCCAGCUCAAAUCCGGGUCGGGGAAAAAAGGUGUCCUACGAUUGACUGGCGAUCAAGUCGGGGGUAAUGCCCGUCUCUCGCCCAAAGCCAGCCAGGAUGGGCUCCCGCUCGCCUAAUGAGGACAAGCAGCGCUAUAGAAAAUGGAUGGAGCAGGUCUACGACCACGCGUGUGUGAAUCCUAAUGUCUGGACGGGGAGCUGGGCGGCAAGCGAGAGCGAGGCUGACAGCGGUGCUCGACACGGGCAUUAAAUCAUGCCCCGAGGAGUCCUCCAUCCACGCGCCCCGCGACAGCCGCGCUGUCAUCACGGCCGGGCCGCUUCCGAUGUCUCUUGACAUCGCCGCGGCAGAAUUAGUCGCAGCAUCAGAUGUAAAUUGCCGCUGUUCAAGGAUGAUAACGAGCGCCGAGAUACACGUCGGUGUCGGUGACGCCGCGGGGCCUUGACGGGCUGUCCCGAAAGCCGCCCUCGGUUAGGCCUAAUGGCGUUCCGGUAAGGCCGGGAAGGUGGCAGCGGGCGAUGGACAAGCGGAAAGCGUUCUGGUCUCGGUGCCUGUUGCAGAAGCUGAUGUCACUUCAACCAUUCGGAUGGAAUGACUUUUGCAACUUGCUCUUCUCGACUGUAGCAAGGAGCUGAACAGAAAGAAAAAACAAAACAAACAAAAACAUGUAUUUGAGCCAUGAACGGACUAAUACAUUUCCUAGGACA